RNAcentral lists this ribosomal RNA (253 nucleotides) under uncultured bacterium. RNAcentral describes it as "partial 16S ribosomal RNA". It matches the Rfam family "Bacterial small subunit ribosomal RNA", at positions 524 to 776 of the family's 1533-position model. The record is from RNAcentral.
UACGGGGGGAGCAAGCGUUGUUCGGAUUUACUGGGCGUAAAGGGCGCGUAGGCGGCGUGACAAGUCACUUGUGAAAUCUCCGGGCUUAACCCGGAGCGGUCAAGUGAUACUGUCGUGCUAGAGUGCGGAAGGGGCUACUGGAAUUCUCGGUGUAGCGGUGAAAUGCGUAGAUAUCGAGAGGAACACCUGCGGCGAAGGCGGGUAGCUGGGCCGACACUGACGCUGAUGCGCGAAAGCGUGGGGAGCAAACAGG